This 589-nucleotide ribosomal RNA is filed under the name uncultured bacterium. Its description in RNAcentral is "bacterial SSU rRNA". It matches the Rfam family "Bacterial small subunit ribosomal RNA", at positions 338 to 916 of the family's 1533-position model. The record is from RNAcentral.
CCUACGGGAGGCAGCAGUGGGGAAUAUUGGACAAUGGGCGAAAGCCUGAUCCAGCAAUUCUGCGUGAGUGAGGAAGGACUUCGGUCUGUAAAGCUCUGUUAAUGUGGAAAAAUGGUAGUUGGUCUAAUAGGCCGGCUAUUUGAUGGUACACAUAGAGGAAGCACCGGCUAACUUCGUGCCAGCAGCCGCGGUAAUACGAAGGGUGCAAGCGUUGUUCGGAUUUAUUGGGCGUAAAGCGCGCGUAGGCGGACCUGUAAGUCAGAUGUGAAAUCUCGGUGCUCAACACCGAAACUGCGUCUGAAACUGCGGGUCUUGAAUCUUAGAGGGGGAGUGGGAAUUUCGCAUGUAGGGGUAAAAUCCGUAGAGAUGCGAAGGAACACCAGAGGCGAAGGCGCACUCCUGGACAAGUAUUGACGCUGAGGCGCGAAAGCGUGGGGAUCAAACAGGAUUAGAUACCCUGGUAGUCCACGCUGUAAACGAUGAGCACUAGAUAUUAUGGGAUUUGACCCCCGUAGUGUCGUAGCUAACGCGUUAAGUGCUCCGCCUGGGAAGGUACGGUCGCAAGACUAAAACUCAAAUGAAUUGACGG